RNAcentral lists this ribosomal RNA (440 nucleotides) under uncultured bacterium. RNAcentral's name for it is "partial 16S ribosomal RNA". It matches the Rfam family "Bacterial small subunit ribosomal RNA", at positions 338 to 795 of the family's 1533-position model. The record is from RNAcentral.
CCUACGGGAGGCAGCAGUGGGGAAUAUUGCACAAUGGGGGAAACCCUGAUGCAGCGACGCCGCGUGAGUGAAGAAGUAUUUCGGUAUGUAAAGCUCUAUCAGCAGGGAAGAUAAUGACGGUACCUGACUAAGAAGCCCCGGCUAACUACGUGCCAGCAGCCGCGGUAAUACGUCGGGGGCCAGCGUUAUACGGAUGUACUGGGUGUAAUGCGUGCGUAGGAGGCAGGGUAAGUCAGAUGGGAAAGUCCGGGGCUCAACCCCGGUACUGACGUUGAAACUGUCCAGGUGGAGUGCAGGAGAGGUAAGCGGAAUUCGUAGUGUAGCGGUGAAAUGCGUAGAUAUUAGGAGGAACACCAGUGGCGAAGGCGGCUUACUGGACUGUAACUGACACUGAGGCACGAAAGCGUGGGGAGCAAACAGGAGUAGAUACCCCAGUAGUC